Molecule: ribosomal RNA, 262 nt
Filed under: uncultured bacterium
Lineage: Bacteria
Description: partial 16S ribosomal RNA
Rfam family: Bacterial small subunit ribosomal RNA
Source: RNAcentral
GUCCACACCGUAAACGUUGGGCGCUAGGUGUGGGGCUCAUUCCACGAGUUCCGUGCCGCAGCUAACGCAUUAAGCGCCCCGCCUGGGGAGUACGGCCGCAAGGCUAAAACUCAAAGGAAUUGACGGGGGCCCCGCACAAGCGGCGGAGCAUGCGGAUUAAUUCGAUGCAACGCGAAGAACCUUACCUGGGUUUGACAUACGCCGGAAAGCCGUAGAGAUACGGCCCCUUUUAGUCGGUGUACAGGUGGUGCAUGGCUGUCGU